GUGCUGACUUCGGCAGCACUUAUGCUAAAAUUGGAACAAUAGCAGAAGAUCAGCUUGGCCCCUGGGCAAGGAUGGCACUCAGAUUCACCAAGCAUUCCAUAUUUUC
Molecule: small nuclear RNA, 106 nt
Organism: Prolemur simus (greater bamboo lemur)
Lineage: Eukaryota; Metazoa; Chordata; Mammalia; Primates; Lemuridae
Source: Ensembl